GUGCCAGCAGCCGCGGUAAGACGUAGGGCGCAAGCGUUGUCCGGAUUUAUUGGGCGUAAAGAGCUCGUAGGCGGCUGGUCGCGUCGACUGUGAAAACCCGCAGCUCAACUGUGUGGUCUGCAGUCGAUACGGGCUGGCUGGAGUUCGGUAGGGGAGACUGGAAUUCCUGGUGUAGCGGUGAAAUGCGCAGAUAUCAGGAGGAACACCGGUGGCGAAGGCGGGUCUCUGGGCCGAUACUGACGCUGAGGAGCGAAAGCGUGGGGAGCGAACAGGAUUAGAAACCCGCGUAGUCC
RNAcentral lists this ribosomal RNA (293 nucleotides) under uncultured bacterium. RNAcentral describes it as "partial 16S ribosomal RNA". It matches the Rfam family "Bacterial small subunit ribosomal RNA", at positions 505 to 796 of the family's 1533-position model. The record is from RNAcentral.